AAGGUACGGAACAACUCCGGGAAACUGGAGCUAAUACCGUAUGUGCCCGAGAGGGGAAAGAUUUAUCGCCUUUGGAUCGGCCCGCGUCUGAUUAGCUAGUUGGUGGGGUAAUGGCCUACCAAGGCGACGAUCAGUAGCUGGUCUGAGAGGAUGGCCAGCCACACUGGGACUGAGACACGGCCCAGACUCCUACGGGAGGUAGCAGUGGGGAAUAUUGGACAAUGGGCGCAAGCCUGAUCCAGCCAUGCCGCGUGAGUGAUGAAGGCCUUANGGUUGUAAAGCUCUUUCGCCAGGGACGAUAAUGACGGUACCUGGAUAAGAAGCCUCGGCUAACUUCGUGCCAGCAGCCGCGGUAAUACGAAGGGGGCUAGCCGUUGUUCGGAAUUACUGGGCCGUAAAGCGUAUGCAAGGCGGACUUUUAAGUCGGGGGUGAAAUCCCGAGACUCAACCUCGGGACUGCCUUCGAUACUGGAAGUCUUGAAUCCGGGAGAGGUGAAGUGGAACUCCGAGUGUAGAGGUGAAAUUCGUAGAUAUUCGGAAGAACACCAGUGGCGAAGCGGCUCACUGCCCGGUCUGACGCUGAGAUACGAAAGCGUGGGGAGCAAACAGGAUUAAGAUACCCUG
RNAcentral lists this ribosomal RNA (624 nucleotides) under uncultured Alphaproteobacteria bacterium. RNAcentral's name for it is "bacterial SSU rRNA". It matches the Rfam family "Bacterial small subunit ribosomal RNA", at positions 133 to 789 of the family's 1533-position model. The record is from RNAcentral. Lineage: Bacteria; Pseudomonadati; Pseudomonadota; Alphaproteobacteria.